Small nucleolar RNA from Rhincodon typus (whale shark), 75 nucleotides. RefSeq annotates it as small nucleolar RNA SNORD11B. The record is from RefSeq and is a predicted model, not a curated record. Lineage: Eukaryota; Metazoa; Chordata; Chondrichthyes; Orectolobiformes; Rhincodontidae. The transcript has a single exon.
UGGCAGCAGUGAUGAUUUUGUCAGUCUUGCUGAUUGACUGAAGGUUUUCAGUCACUACCUCAUCUGAGGCUGCCA